Molecule: ribosomal RNA, 900 nt
Filed under: uncultured Bacteroidota bacterium
Lineage: Bacteria; Pseudomonadati; Bacteroidota
Description: bacterial SSU rRNA
Rfam family: Bacterial small subunit ribosomal RNA
Source: RNAcentral
GUCCCAGCCGCCGCGGUAAUACGGAGGGUGCAAGCGUUAUCCGGAUUUAUUGGGUUUAAAGGGUGCGUAGGCGGUUUGAUAAGUCAGCGGUGAAAUAUUUCAGCUUAACUGGAAGGGUGCCGUUGAUACUGUCAGGCUUGAAUUUAGUUGCUGUGGGUGGAAUGUGUGGUGUAGCGGUGAAAUGCAUAGAUAUCACACAGAAUAUCGAUUGCGAAGGCAGCUCACAAAGCUAAUAUUGACGCUGAUGCACGAAAGUGUGGGGAUCAAACAGGAUUAGAUACCCUGGUAGUCCACACUGUAAACGAUGAUAACUCGCUGUCGGCGAUACACAGUCGGCGGCCAAGCGAAAGCGAUAAGUUAUCCACCUGGGGAGUACGACCGCAAGGUUGAAACUCAAAGGAAUUGACGGGGGCCCGCACAAGCGGAGGAACAUGUGGUUUAAUUCGAUGAUACGCGAGGAACCUUACCCGGGCUCGAACGGUGCAUGAAUAGAUCAGAGAUGGUUUAGUCCUUCGGGACAUGUAUCGAGGUGCUGCAUGGUUGUCGUCAGCUCGUGCCGUGAGGUGUCGGCUUAAGUGCCAUAACGAGCGCAACCCUUGUCGUUAGUUGCCAUCAAGUAAAGUUGGGGACUCUAGCGAGACUGCCACCGUAAGGUGCGAGGAAGGGGGGGAUGACGUCAAAUCAGCACGGCCCUUACGUCCGGGGCGACACACGUGUUACAAUGGCAGGUACAGAGGGCAGCUACCCAGUGAUGGGGUGCGAAUCUCGAAAGCCUGUCUCAGUUCGGAUCGGAGUCUGCAACUCGACUCCGUGAAGUUGGAUUCGCUAGUAAUCGCGCAUCAGCCAUGGCGCGGUGAAUACGUNCCCGGGNNUUGUACACACCGCCCGUCAAGCCAUGGA